CCGCCCUCAUCAAAUGCCUCUCCUCUAAGUCUAACCCCCUAACUCCCCACCCACAAACCCUAACUCCAUCCUCUUCUAUUUCCUCCUCGCGAACCACUCACCCCCACCUCUUACCUUCUCCUAAACUAACCACGACCACCAAUAUCUUUAUCCUCCUCCUCAUCUGAUCACCAGCAUCACUCUCAAAAACCUCUGCCUCAGCAACAAGUUUAUCUUCUAUCAAAAUUCGAAGCUUUUGAGCAAAAAUCUUGAAAAUUGGUAUCUAGGGCUGAAGAAAGGGCCAUGGAAAUUGGCGUUCAGUCUCGACAAGCGCAUUAUUUCAAGCUCCAUUCUCAUCUUCGACUCUGCCGCGAACAUCAUGUAGGUGAAUCACUCUCCUACUAAAAUUAGGGUUUUUGAAUUUUUCGAAUUACUGGAAUUAGGGUUUUCAUGUGAUUAGUUUUUUGUCAUUGUUUUUUAUGUCGAGUUUCAAUUGAUUUUUAUCCUAUUAUUUUGUUGGUAUAAUUCUAAAGGAUCAAUUUUGUGCUUGAAUUUGGUAAUGUAUAUAUUGGUUUUUUUUUAUUAUUAAUAAGUUUGAAGUAAAUUA
Beta vulgaris subsp. vulgaris (sugar beet) is the source of this 586-nucleotide long non-coding RNA. RefSeq lists it as uncharacterized. The record is from RefSeq and is a predicted model, not a curated record. NCBI's taxonomy places the organism in Eukaryota, Viridiplantae, Streptophyta, Magnoliopsida, Caryophyllales, Amaranthaceae. The transcript has 2 exons.